CAGUAGCCGCGGUAAUACAGAGGAUGCAAGCGUUAUCCGGAAUGAUUGGGCAUAAAGUGUCUGUAGGUGGCUUUUCAAGUCCGCCGUCAAAUCCCAGGGCUCAACCGUGGACAGGCGGUGGAAACUACCAAGCUGGAGUAUGGUAGGGGCAGAGGGAAUUUCCGGUGGAGCGGUGAAAUGCGUUGAGAUCGGAAAGAACACCAACAGCGAAAUCACUCUGCUAGGCCGACACUGACACUGAGAGACGAAAUCUAGGGGAGCAAAUGGGAUUAGAUACCCCGGUAGUCCCUGUCUCUGAUAC
RNAcentral lists this ribosomal RNA (301 nucleotides) under uncultured bacterium. RNAcentral describes it as "partial 16S ribosomal RNA". It matches the Rfam family "Bacterial small subunit ribosomal RNA", at positions 509 to 809 of the family's 1533-position model. The record is from RNAcentral.